UAGGUGGGUAUUGUUUAGGUAGGAAGGGUAAAUUAGGUGGUUAAGUCUUCUGAUUCUAUGUUGGUUGAGAUUUCGGGAGUCAAAACAAUCAUUCCCCGUCCCUCCCGCAUCAAUAAAGGGUAUAGAAGUAAAUUAUAUCAUAUGUAAUUAAUUAUAUAAUUAAUUGUCUAUUUCUUUUUCCACCAUAGAAAACGUGUAUAUAUACAUAUAUAGGGCUGUAUAUUCAACAAAAUAGACAUCAGCCAUUCUUGAUAUGGUAUCAGAGCCCUAAUUAAAGAAAUUCUAACCUCAAUUACAAACUUUAUUCGGCCUUCAUUGCCGAAAUAGAAAAGAAACAUCCUAAAUGAGUUAGGUCAGCUUUCAUAACUGACCAGUGCACACUAGCUGUUAGCCAUUGCUGUCAGCCACUGGUAGCAACCAAAUCGGCCUUCAUCACCGGCACCAGAACCUUUAGUUGUGUACUCAGACACAACCACACUGCAAACAUACAGAGCAACUCUGUGUUGUUGUCACCUGUGGCAACGCCAUCUAUCAUGACCUGACGCAAACACAACCCUCUUGCAACCAAAUGGAGCCGUUGGGCACAACCACGACCAGAUGCAGAUGUGACCCUCUCGCAACCAAACUUAAACGCUAGACUAAUACGCGACACCAUCUGUCGGGACACGACUCCAUCGCAAGACACUAUGUACAACACUCGCCCUCUACACCACCCUCUACUCCAGCCUUUGUCUAGGUGUAUGAUGCUCAAGAGAUAUACAGUGCUCACCCUUAAUCUUUGUCGCGUCUCUGCUACUGUUGUACUUAUACAUGCAACCUGUGCACAGUGUCGUGUUUCUCAAUUCAAAUCCAAGUUGUCGAAUCAACAACAUAGAAGCAAAGCUGCAGAUUCCCUCUUCAGGCCACCACUUAUAUUCCUAGUAAAAUUCCUUCUUUUUU
RNAcentral lists this long non-coding RNA (939 nucleotides) under Carica papaya (papaya). RNAcentral describes it as "long non-coding RNA (CPAP_LNC014573)". The record is from RNAcentral. Lineage: Eukaryota; Viridiplantae; Streptophyta; Magnoliopsida; Brassicales; Caricaceae.